CACGCAAAGAUGCAAUGGCAAGAGAGCAGAAAUUAAACAAGGUCAAUCAAAAGACAUUUGAUUGAUAGAAUACAAGACAGUAUAAAACUUUGUGAAUAAAAUUGAGUGCGGGAUAGUGGCGGACGGGUGAGUAACGCGUGAAUAAUCUGCCCCAUACAGGGGGAUAGCCUCGGGAAACCGGGAUUAAAACCGCAUAACACUUUAUCACCGCAUGGUGAUGAAGUCAAAUCGAUUAAGAGGUAUGGGAUGAGUUCGCGUCUGAUUAGCUAGUUGGCGGGGUAAAGGCCCACCAAGGCGACGAUCAGUAGCCGGCCUGAGAGGGUGACCGGCCACACUGGAACUGAGACACGGUCCAGACUCCUACGGGAGGCAGCAGUGGGGAAUAUUGCACAAUGGGGGAAACCCUGAUGCAGCGACGCCGCGUGAGUGAAGAAGGUCUUCGGAUCGUAAAACUCUGUCCUUGGUGACGAAGGAAGUGACGGUAACCAAGGAGGAAGCCCCGGCUAACUACGUG
Molecule: ribosomal RNA, 514 nt
Filed under: uncultured bacterium
Lineage: Bacteria
Description: bacterial SSU rRNA
Rfam family: Bacterial small subunit ribosomal RNA
Source: RNAcentral